ACGCCUGUUUUAUCAAAAACAUCGCCUCCUGCAACAACCAAUGUAUAAGAGGUCCUACCUGCCCAGUGACUAUGUUAAACGGCCGCGGUAUUUUGACCGUGCAAAGGUAGCGCAAUCACUUGUUUUUUAAAUGAAGACCUGUAUGAAUGGUGAAACGAGGGCUUAACUGUCUCCCCUUUCUGAUCAGUGAAAUUGAUCUACCCGUGCAGAAGCGGGUAUAAGCAUACAAGACGAGAAGACCCUAUGGAGCUUAAGACACAAGAUCAACUAUGUUAAAACCCCUAAUUAAAAAGGUAAAACACAACAGCAACUGAUCGGCGUCUUCGAUUGGGGCGAUCGAGGGGGAAAAUAAAUCCCCCAUGAAGAAUAAGAUAUUUUCUCCAAACCAUGAUACACACCUCUAAGUCGCAGAAUUUCUGACCAAAAGAUCCGGUAUUCAACCGAUCAGCGGACCAAGUUACCCUAGGGAUAACAGCGCAAUCCUCUCCAAGAGUCCAUAUCGACAAGAGGGUUUACGACCUCGAUGUUGGAUCAGGACAUCCUAAUGGUGCAGCCGCUAUUAAGGGUUCGUUUGUUCAACGAUUAAAGUCCUACGUGAUCUGAGUUCCAGACCGGA
This 616-nucleotide ribosomal RNA is filed under the name Erythrocharax altipinnis. RNAcentral's name for it is "partial 16S ribosomal RNA". It matches the Rfam family "Bacterial large subunit ribosomal RNA", at positions 1796 to 2620 of the family's 2925-position model. Lineage: Eukaryota; Metazoa; Chordata; Actinopteri; Characiformes; Acestrorhamphidae. The record is from RNAcentral.